This 433-nucleotide ribosomal RNA is filed under the name uncultured bacterium. RNAcentral describes it as "partial 16S ribosomal RNA". It matches the Rfam family "Bacterial small subunit ribosomal RNA", at positions 29 to 507 of the family's 1533-position model. The record is from RNAcentral.
AGCGAACGCUGGCGGCAGGCCUAACACAUGCAAGUCGAACGAACUCUUCGGAGUUAGUGGCGGACGGGUGAGUAACACGUGGGAACGUGCCUUCUGGUUCGGAAUAACUCAGGGAACCUUGUGCUAAUACCGAAUGUGCCCUUCGGGGGAAAGAUUUAUCGCCAUUAGAGCGGCCCGCGUCUGAUUAGCUAGUUGGUGAGGUAACGGCUCACCAAGGCGACGAUCAGUAGCUGGUCUGAGAGGAUGACCAGCCACACUGGGACUGAGACACGGCCCAGACUCCUACGGGAGGCAGCAGUGGGGAAUCUUGCGCAAUGGGCGAAAGCCUGACGCAGCCAUGCCGCGUGAAUGAUGAAGGUCUUAGGAUUGUAAAAUUCUUUCACCGGGGACGAUAAUGACGGUACCCGGAGAAGAAGCCCCGGCUAACUUCGUG